RNA transcript from Camellia sinensis, 3474 nucleotides. RefSeq lists it as uncharacterized. The record is from RefSeq and is a predicted model, not a curated record. Lineage: Eukaryota; Viridiplantae; Streptophyta; Magnoliopsida; Ericales; Theaceae.
AAUUGUUUGGGCUUAUAAUAGAUUCUAAUCAUCAGACACUGGUUCGAAGGACAUCCAUCGCUAGUACAACUCCACUUAAUAGCGUCGGGCACAUGAAAGGAGAUAAGGAAUGAUUUGUGAACGAGAUUGAGUCUGGUCGAAUCGAGUUGUAGAAUUACUUUGACGAGUUGUCGCUCAGGUGGGAGACCGAGUCAAAGAAGAGUCAGACCUCGAAGGAGAGUCAGAGUUACUCUAUGGAGGUUUAACUCUAGUUUCUCCAGGUCCAAUUGUUGAUACUGUUGUUAUGAAUCCUCUGUUCGGAACCGGGAAAAAGGGGGCUGAUAUGGACUUUCUCUUUGCGACUUUGAAGAAUUUAAAAAAUGUAGGAACCUUUGGCAAUACAACUAAAGGAUUUGAAGACCUAGCUCUAGGUUAUCAUAAUGGACUGCCAUAUGAAUAUUUGAGGGAAAGAUAUUAGAUGUAUUUCCUAAUUACAGAAAAGAAGCAGAAGACCACCUGUCAAAAGCUGUGAAGUUGAAUCCAUCUCUGGCAGUUGCUUGGCUCUGCUUAGGUAACUGCAUUUGGAAAAAUGGAGAUCUACCUUCAGCAAAAAACUGCUCACUUGCACUAAGCAAGGUUAUGUUUUUGAGUUCUGAUAUAUUUCCAUUGUUUCUCCAAUUUCAACAGUGAUGUGUGUUUUUAUUUCAUCUGUGUAUAUUCAACUACCAAUAAGUUUAUAUCUAAUGUAGGGUCCAAACAAAAAGAUACUUUAUCAAUUAUCUAUGCUAGAAAGAAGAAUGGCUCAAUGCAAGGAUCUUAGUUCAGUGUUAUUUUUCUGUUUUCUCUUGGUUCCUCUUGAAUAUAAUCUUCCAUAUUUAUUAAAAGACAAGAAGUUAUUAUUCUGUUUUCUCUUAUGGUUACAUUAUACUUGGGUUCUUGGUUCUUUGGGAGAUAAUUUAUGAAGUGCUCUCUAUUUUAGAUCUAGAAUGUUUGGGCCAUUUAUUUACAGUGAGUUUAUUUAGGAGAUUAAUGAAUCUAUUUUAGUUAAUAAUAAUGUUGUAACUUACGUUGCUUGUACCUAUCAUCGUAUUCUUGUUCCAAAAACAUUUACUGGUUUUUUUUGCUGUCUCAAAAGGAAGAAGGAAAGAGAAAACAUUCACCAUUCUAUCUAUUUUUUGAUUUUGAGCUUCUUGAGUUCUGAAUCCUUCUGUUUGUUUUUUUGCCACUAGUUUCAUUGAUGUCUUUUAAUCUAGUACCUUUGUUGUGGUGUUGAUGGAAGCAACAGGCCUAGAGAUGGUGAAUUUUGUUAGAAUUUUUGUGUUCUUGACUAACUUUUUUGCCCUUGUAUUGCCAACUAUAUUUGCUAAAGACAAUUUGGUAAUCAUCAAAUUUAACUGGUCUAGAAACUUUGGGAGUACAAAGAAUAACUCCCUUGCUUGCCCAAAGAAAAAAAGAGAAGCAUGAUAGAUGGAGAUAAAAGAAAAAAGAUUAUUUAUGAUUUUUAUAUUAGGUGAGUAUUCUUGUAAAAAUGUAAAUAGGGCAUAUUUUCUAGUCAGUCAAAGGAAGGUAAAAUAUAUAAGAGAAAAUUCAGAUUGGUUUAUCAUUUCAAAUCAGAAAGUAGCCUCCUUCUCAUGCUAUUUGUGGUCUCUAAUUUUCAACUUUUGGUUUGCUAAGGCUUGUAUAAAGUGUAAAUAUAAAAAUAAUUUGGAGAUCUAAUCACAACAAAUGGAAGCAUUGCAGAGCUCACUCUUUUUUCGAGUCAAAGGCUAUGCAUCAAUCAUAAUAUAAAUGCAUUUAUCUACUUUCCUAAUUCUUUGUUAUCUUUGAAGGUACUGAUAAUCAGCCAGAGAUUGCUGAGGAAAGGAUCAAACAUGCAAAGGAAGUUAUAAUGUUGGAUGUGAAAGAUAGGAAUUCUUGGUGUAAGGCUUCGUAUCAGAUCUAAGCUAAAACAGUAAUUUGAAUUUUUUUGGCUACUUUGAAUUGGGAAUGUGUGGAUUGCAAUUGGGUGGGUUUGAAUGAUUUUUGGUAAGGGGUUUUAGUAAAGGGUUUGAUGAUAUUAGUGGUUCAAAGCUAGGAUCUUAGUGUGCAACUUCAAGACUAGCUGUGUUACAUGGCAUUUUUCAGAAAAUUUGAACUUGUAGGUUUUUCUCGAAAAUUAGUGUGUUGCAUAUUUUUCCUCUGUUAGAAUAAGAAACUUUAUACUUAUUGUGGAGUGCUAUAACAAAAUUAUGAAAGGUUUAGACAGUGGCAACUGUGGUUGAUUAUGAAUUGUGUAAUCUAUUUUUCCUUGCAAGCAGGAGUAAUCAUGGGUGAGCAUAGUUUUUUUUUUAUGUAAUCUAGAGAUAAUUUGUUGUGACAUGCUUCUUUAAACUUUACCCUCUUGGUUCAAAUUAUGGGUCAAUGCAAAUCUUAUUUAAUCUAGAGAAUUAACAUGUACUUCAUGGUAAUAAGAAAUGACUGUCAUAUAAAUGCCAAGGCUUUUAGAACUAUAAAAUAUAUAUUACUUUGUUUUUACAUUGUACCAAAAUGGGCAUUUUUUUACUCUUUUGUGGCAAAGGAUUUGAAAUUGUGGGUUUCUACAAGAAGAGAAAAGAAAAGGAAUUUACGGCUUCUUAGGUUGGCUUCUUAGGUUAAGCUCUACCUUAUGCUGUCUUUGUUGCUUUAGUUCAUUGGAGUUAAUUUUUUUAUUUUCAUUGUUUCUUAUUUACCUACAUUCCUUUGUUUUUUUAGCAAUCUAGUUUUUGUCAUCAACCCCAUAUGGUGGCUGCUAUAGCAGUUACGAAUUAUCAUGGAGGCAGGUAAAAUAUUUUUAUUUGAUUUCGAAUAUGUACUCUAUUGUAGCUGUUGGUUAGUAUUUUUGGACUAAAAGAUGUUUGUUUUUAAAUUAAAAGACUUGCUGAUAGUUCUUUGUAAGCCUAAUGCCCUUAAUUGAUGUUGUUGUUAUUAAAUGGUUUCGUCUAGUUUAUUUAGUUGAUUAGGUGCAUAAUUAAGUUUGUUCUUUUAAAAAAGUUUAUUGUGUAUUGAAAAAUGGAUUUAUUUGCUUUAGUUUAUAACUAAGAAAAAGUUACGUUCGGCAUGUGAUUGGCUUAUAUGACAUUGCUUUUAUGGGGCCAUUGAAUUAUCUUAUUAAUUUUGGAAAUGUUUUGUUGAUAUUUUAAAAUUUCUUGAUCAUUUCUUAAUACCUCAAGAAAUAUUUUUAUCCUUGAGUCAUCGGUUUUUGGACUUAAAAUGAAGUUUCCUUUGUCAUGCAGACAAGAAAUGCAACAGGGUUAGUUGCUCCAGCUAUUGUCACGGGUUUAGGUGCCUUAACACAUACAUUGGGCACCCUCGUCCCUGUGAUAGAAGCAAGUGGAUUUGCUGCAUCUGCAACAACAACUGUUAUAGGAACUGUUGUCAGUAGUUUUAGAUAAUCUCUUAAUAGUUGUCAAUAUGUUUAGAAAGUUAGAUAUGCAUAGUUUUGGAUGGUUUAAACUUUUUGUACAAUUUAGAACUUAA